CCAUGCUCACUAUUCUCCACUCAAUCACGAUCAUUGUUCACUAUCCCCGGCCUAUUAGCACUCCUCACCUGUUGCCUGUUUCAGCUCGUUAACCACUCUACAAAAACCCUCUCCAUGGCCCAGUUGUUG
Molecule: long non-coding RNA, 129 nt
Organism: Etheostoma cragini (Arkansas darter)
Lineage: Eukaryota; Metazoa; Chordata; Actinopteri; Perciformes; Percidae
Exons: 3
Source: RefSeq, a predicted model, not a curated record